This 1284-nucleotide long non-coding RNA is filed under the name Ursus maritimus (polar bear). RNAcentral describes it as "lncRNA (ENSUMAG00000023303.1)". Lineage: Eukaryota; Metazoa; Chordata; Mammalia; Carnivora; Ursidae. The record is from RNAcentral.
GGCUCAUUUCGGCCGCUUGAAGUUUUCUUUCAAACUGGGAUUUGUGACGAGGCCGGGGCGAAGGGAGCGGGACGACGAUCUAGGCGCCCGACGCGGAGCUCAAGCAUCGGCGUCCUGGCCAGAGCCGGGGUGUGCGCGUGGACCCACCCACUCAGGCUUCGCAAUAAACUAUGCGGUACAAUUUCAGAAAACGGCACCGGGGAGAACAGGACACGAAUCAGGAUGAAUUGAGGGAAUGAAUUGAGAAGGAAAUUCAGGGUUGGUGCUGCAUUCACCAAAGUCAAAGGAACGGGUGGAGGGUUCAAAAAGUUGGUACGAGGGAAGUGUUGCCGUCAAUAUCAUCAGAUCGUGGUGUGUCCAGCUCACCCCAAAGAAGUCAAGAUUAUGUUUACACACUAAAACCAGGGGUUCUAGUUCGUCCUCUGCAGUUGAAUAAUCCUGGCUCUGAGACUCACAAUUGUGUUGUUCUCUUUGAAGUGGUGUUCUCUUUUAAGCGGGAUAUGGAACAAUGGUCUCAUAGUCUCCUGUCGACCUACAUUGGCACUAUGAAGAAGCAAACCUGUGAAAAGCUCAUGGGAUUACAUGUCCAGUUUUUGUGAGAAGCCUCAACUCUUUGUAAACCAAAAUUCUUUCACAGUGCAGCCGAGUCUAAUCACAUGUUUAAACAAUCCUAUAUAGACCGAAAAAAAUAGAAGAACACACUACCAACAGAAAGUGAAGGAAAGAAUCCUGGGAUUCAACCUUCCCCCUUUUUAUGGCCAGAUGGUGACAACUUUAGGAAUUAAAAGCCACACAGGGAUAGAAAUGGGAAGCCGUUUCCUGCCUGAUAAGUCUGAAAGACGGCUGUGGUUUGGAAGAGGGAAAUUAAUCAAAGAAAGGUCAUUUACAGGUAGUAAAGUCAAAUGUCACCUCCCCCAAUUCUCAUGACUUGUGGUUUAGAGAAAGGUUAGCUUAAUAUAGAGGUUAGUGUGGCAUUCUGAACUGUCUCAAGACAUGAUAGAUGAAGAUGAGAAUAACACUAUCAGUAUCCCUCCCCCUAACAGCUAUGUUCAGGCUUCAAAAAGGUAUUUAAAACUUGACGUCAUGGUGAGGUACUAGACACCUGGGAAAGUCCCACUUAAUAGAAUAAGGAUAUCAUCAAAAGUCCUAUAAACUGUAUUCCAUAAACUGCCUCAUUGAAAGACUAUGUUUUUGAAAUAAUAUCGUUUUUGAGAAAUCCUCAUGCAGAAUCUACAGCACUUUAGAUUGAUGAUAAAACUGAUUUCCGUGGGACUAGCUAUAUAC